Molecule: long non-coding RNA, 1055 nt
Organism: Anthonomus grandis grandis
Lineage: Eukaryota; Metazoa; Arthropoda; Insecta; Coleoptera; Curculionidae
Exons: 2
Source: RefSeq, a predicted model, not a curated record
GAAAACACAUUCCAAACAAGUUAAACCCCAAAUAAAAUUGUGCCGCCACUGUGUUUUAGACAAAGAAAUCUUUUGCGUAUGUUCGUCCCUCUUUAACACAAUCAGACCGCCAAAUUCCCGAAAUCGGGGCAAAUUAGAUGCGGCGCGGACAAGUACGUAACGAUUUACUACAGCCCCCGUUCCCCGUCGCGACAGUCACAUUUCACACUCGCUUAAAGACACAUCGCUCUUGUUUCUAGCUCAAAUUUUCCUCUCGCCACAAAUUGUCGAGUGACAAUUAUUUGCUCUAAUUGCAGAAAAAUUGCAAUUUAUAUAUUUUAUUUGCUCUUAAUCGUUAAGAUAACGAUUUUUAUAUUAAACCUAUAUAUUUUUAUGCGAAGUGUGCUCAAUUUAAGUAACAUUUUGUGUUCACAAAUAACUGUAUGAUAGUUAUUUUUGGCUCGGUAAUUAAACCCAUUGAUAACAUAAAACGACGUAAGACGUUGUCUCGUUACUUGUGUCUGAUGUUGAUGGCUGCUGCUCGUGGUACCUGUGCAUUGAUACUUACCUGUUCUGGGUUCCGAUGGUGAGAAAACCAUACAAGGUAACCUUUUAAGUUUAUUGUACUGUAUGGCUGACCAAUCUACUCAGAUUUCAUAAAGUUACGUGUAAUUAAUGUAAAGUACCUACAAAACAAAAACAUUCAGUGUAGUGCUUUCCUGAUUUAAACCUAGAGUACUGGUGGAUUAGUGUCUCAAUAGGUGUUAUAGAAAUAAAGAGACAUUUUUCAAUCGCUCUCCUUAUAUUUAAAUUAAAUUGAAUUAUAACUUGAUACCAAAUUCAUGUAAAAAAAGGGUAUCAAAUUUUGCUGGUAUUUUUGAUAAUUUGUUUUGUUCUAUAUUAAUAAUUUUACUGUUGUUAUUUUAGUUAAGAAAAGCAUGAAUGGAUGAGCGCAUGACUUAAAUUUAAGAUUAUUUGUUUUUGUUGAAAUACACCCCAGUUUUCUUAUUUUAACACUGACUGGGUGACUACAAAGAUAUUUAUUUUAUAACAAAUAAAUAUUCUCACAAAUGUAA